UACGUAGGGGGCGAGCGUUAUCCGGAUUUAUUGGGCGUAAAGCGUGUGUAGGCGGUUUGUUAAGUCUAAAAUCAAAGCCUGGAGCUUAACUCCAGUUCGUUUUAGAAACUGGCAGACUUGAGUGUAGUAGAGGUAAGUGGAAUUUCUAGUGUAGCGGUUAAAUGCGUAGAUAUUAGAAGGAACACCAGUGGCGAAGGCGGCUUACUGGGCUAUUACUGACGCUGAGACACGAAAGCGUGGGGAGCAAAUAGG
This 252-nucleotide ribosomal RNA is filed under the name uncultured bacterium. Its description in RNAcentral is "partial 16S ribosomal RNA". It matches the Rfam family "Bacterial small subunit ribosomal RNA", at positions 524 to 776 of the family's 1533-position model. The record is from RNAcentral.